Molecule: ribosomal RNA, 253 nt
Filed under: uncultured bacterium
Lineage: Bacteria
Description: partial 16S ribosomal RNA
Rfam family: Bacterial small subunit ribosomal RNA
Source: RNAcentral
UACGAAGGGGGCUAGCGUUGCUCGGAAUUACUGGGCGUAAAGGGCGCGUAGGCGGCACUGUUAGUCAGGCGUGAAAGUCCUGGGCUCAACCUAGGAAGUGCACUCGAAACUGCAAAGCUUGAGUCUCGGAGAGGAUCGCGGAAUUCUCGGUGUAGAGGUGAAAUUCGUAGAUAUCGAGAGGAACACCGGUGGCGAAGGCGGCGAUCUGGACGAUGACUGACGCUGAGACGCGAAAGCGUGGGGAGCAAACAGG